RNAcentral lists this ribosomal RNA (499 nucleotides) under uncultured bacterium. RNAcentral describes it as "bacterial SSU rRNA". It matches the Rfam family "Bacterial small subunit ribosomal RNA", at positions 8 to 507 of the family's 1533-position model. The record is from RNAcentral.
AGAGUUUGAUCAUGGCUCAGGAUGAACGCUAGCGGGAGGCCUAACACAUGCAAGCCGAGCGGUAGAGAUUCUUCGGAAUCUUGAGAGCGGCGUACGGGUGCGGAACACGUGUGCAACCUACCUUUAUCUGGAGGAUAGCCUUUCGAAAAGGAAGAUUAAUACUCCAUAAUAUAUUGAUUGGCAUCAAUUGAUAUUGAAAGCUCCGGCGGAUAGAGAUGGGCACGCGCAAGAUUAGUUAGUUGGUGAGGUAACGGCUCACCAAGACGAUGAUCUUUAGGGGCCUGAGAGGGUGAUCCCCCACACUGGUACUGAGACACGGACCAGACUCCUACGGGAGGCAGCAGUGAGGAAUAUUGGUCAAUGGGUGCAAGCCUGAACCAGCCAUCCCGCGUGAAGGACGACUGCCCUAUGGGUUGUAAACUUCUUUUGUAUAGGGAUAAACCUACCCUCGUGAGGGUAGCUGAAGGUACUAUACGAAUAAGCACCGGCUAACUCCGUG